Molecule: non-coding RNA, 156 nt
Organism: Populus trichocarpa (black cottonwood)
Lineage: Eukaryota; Viridiplantae; Streptophyta; Magnoliopsida; Malpighiales; Salicaceae
Source: Rfam
UCUAGAACUCGAGAUAUGGGCUGAACACUGAACAAUGUCUGGGCUGCAGGACAGAUUCCGACAUCUCUUUUGUUGCUACAAUUUGAGCUUGAAAACGGUCGUUUUGAAUCUUGGACUCUUCAUGAAAGUUUUAGGCCUAUGUCUUAGUUUUCCAUC